CCUACGGGAGGCAGCAGUGGGGAAUAUUGGACAAUGGGGGAAACCCUGACCCAGCGACGCCGCGUGAGUGAAGAAGUAUUUCGGUACGUAAAGCUCUAUCAGCAGGAAAGAAAAUGACGGUACCUGACUAAGAAGCCCCGGCUAACUACGUGCCAGCAGCCGCGGUAAUACGUAGGGGGCAAGCGUUAUCCGGAUUUACUGGGUGUAAAGGGAGCGUAGACGGCAGCACAAGUCUGGAGUGAAAUCCCGGGGCUUAACCCCUGAACUGCUUUGGAAACUGUGCGGCUGGAGUGCAGGAGGGGUAAGCGGAAUUCCUAGUGUAGCGGUGAAAUGCGUAGAUAUUAGGAGGAACACCGGUGGCGAAGGCGGCUUACUGGACUGUAACUGACGUUGAGGCUCGAAAGCGUGGGGAGCAAACAGGAUUAGAUACCCGUGUAGUC
Molecule: ribosomal RNA, 440 nt
Filed under: uncultured bacterium
Lineage: Bacteria
Description: partial 16S ribosomal RNA
Rfam family: Bacterial small subunit ribosomal RNA
Source: RNAcentral